RNAcentral lists this non-coding RNA (45 nucleotides) under Mytilus galloprovincialis (Mediterranean mussel). It matches the Rfam family "Histone 3' UTR stem-loop". Rfam says of the family: The mRNAs of metazoan histone genes lack a poly-A tail. 3' end processing occurs at a site between a highly conserved stem-loop (modelled by this family) and a purine rich region around 20 nts downstream (the histone downstream element, or HDE). Lineage: Eukaryota; Metazoa; Mollusca; Bivalvia; Mytilida; Mytilidae. The record is from RNAcentral.
UUAACGGUCCUUUUCAGGGCCAACAAUAUUUAAAAAAAAUUUCAA